GGACUACCGGGGUUUCUAAUCCUGUUUGCUCCCCUAGCUUUCGCGCCUCAGCGUCAGCCAUAGCCCAGAAAACCGUCUUCACCACCGGUGUUCCUCCACAUAUCUACGCAUUUCACCGCUACAUGUGGAAUUCCGUUUUCCCUAACUACGCUCAAGCUAGACAGUUUCAAAUGCAGCUCCACAGUUGAGCUGUGGAAUUUCACAUCUGACUUAUCCAGCCGCCUACGCGCCCUUUACGCCCAGUAAUUCCGAUCAAUGCUUGCACCCUCCGUAUUACCGCGGCUGCUGGCAC
RNAcentral lists this ribosomal RNA (292 nucleotides) under uncultured bacterium. RNAcentral describes it as "partial 16S ribosomal RNA". The record is from RNAcentral.